CUUCUUUUCUUUCUCAUCCUUUGAGUUCUACAGAUUAUUUUUUAAACUUCAUAAUUUUAAUUCUGGUGACUUGAUUCACCUAAAUUUAAACAGAUUUUUUCUUUUUUUCCCCAUAAUAAUUUCCAUUUCUAUGGGAACUGUUGAGUCACAGCCUGAACCACUGAUUGAUCACCUGAGGACAGGACUGAAUCAGCCCUGGGAACAUAGAUGAAGGCUGUAGACCCCAUUUAAGGGCUGACUGCCACUAGGAAGGAUCUCUUUCUGGAGAUCCCUCUUCUGUGAAGUCUUUUCUGUGAACCUAGAUCUUUGGAUACAGGUGAGCAUUCUUUCCUUGUUUGUUUCUUUUCCCAUUUCCACCAUGAUGAUCUUUCCAGCUGUAACGCCGACUGUAACACUGUUUAUACUUCUUCAUCACAAUUCCUAAUGUCUGCGUUGAAUGGCAAGCAUGUACUUAUUGGAACAGAAUUAGAGGUUAUCCUUUAACAUAAAAUGCCUAUUAGUCAAAGGCAAUUACAUUUAAUACUUUUUGGGGCUAAGUUACAGCAGGCUCUUGAUGCUUAAAAGCUGUUAAUGUGUUUCAGAAAUGUAGUGGCACACGUUUGCGAAGUGCUUCCUUGUUUUUAUUUUUACUAGGUGUAAUUCAGUUUUUGAAAAGUCCUUGAGUGUUGGCUGACAUCUGGUUUAGGCUCUUUUCCCAUCUGUGGAAAGAACAAAAGAGAGAAGGGAAAACAGGAUUUUCUGUAAAAAGGAUUCAAGAAGGCAAAAUUCAGAGCUUGGUGUUUGGAUCCAUAUUCCAGGCCAGCCUCAAAAUCAGAUUGGACAUUUAAAGGUGGCUUUCCUCUAUUACGUGUUCUCCUGUCACACAUCCUAUCAGCUUACACUAGAAAGUGUCCCUUCUGGUAGUCUCCAAGCACAAGGGAACUGGAGACGGUGAUACUCAUUUGCAAUUACCUUUGUGAACUGCUGUAAUUACGCACUUGGAAAAUGACAGCAUUUUACUUUUCCUCAUUGUUCAAAGAACAGAUGACUGUGGGCAAGAAGUACCUUGCAAAGGCUCUGAAUUACACUUAAGUAUUUGCUGUUCAAUGAUACUUAAUCCUGUGUUAUUACUUUUACUAUUUUUAAGUUUUUAGUCGAGGGUUUUUUUUGUCUUUUUUUUCUUUUUUCUUAAGCCACUGGAGUGUCUGAUUGUUCUGGCUUCCAAUUCCAGUUAAUGUACUGACUGCUGAGUUACCAAAGGUAUUGUGUAUGUACACAUGCCAUAUAAACCCAUCUCU
This 1277-nucleotide long non-coding RNA is filed under the name Phasianus colchicus (ring-necked pheasant). RNAcentral's name for it is "lncRNA (ENSPCLG00000003009.1)". Lineage: Eukaryota; Metazoa; Chordata; Aves; Galliformes; Phasianidae. The record is from RNAcentral.